RNAcentral lists this ribosomal RNA (443 nucleotides) under Variovorax boronicumulans. Its description in RNAcentral is "bacterial SSU rRNA". It matches the Rfam family "Bacterial small subunit ribosomal RNA", at positions 87 to 526 of the family's 1533-position model. Lineage: Bacteria; Pseudomonadati; Pseudomonadota; Betaproteobacteria; Burkholderiales; Comamonadaceae. The record is from RNAcentral.
GGCGGCGAGUGGCGAACGGGUGAGUAAUACAUCGGAACGUGCCCAAUCGUGGGGGAUAACGCAGCGAAAGCUGUGCUAAUACCGCAUACGAUCUACGGAUGAAAGCAGGGGAUCGCAAGACCUUGCGCGAAUGGAGCGGCCGAUGGCAGAUUAGGUAGUUGGUGAGGUAAAGGCUCACCAAGCCUUCGAUCUGUAGCUGGUCUGAGAGGACGACCAGCCACACUGGGACUGAGACACGGCCCAGACUCCUACGGGAGGCAGCAGUGGGGAAUUUUGGACAAUGGGCGAAAGCCUGAUCCAGCCAUGCCGCGUGCAGGAUGAAGGCCUUCGGGUUGUAAACUGCUUUUGUACGGAACGAAACGGUCUUUUCUAAUACAGAAGGCUAAUGACGGUACCGUAAGAAUAAGCACCGGCUAACUACGUGCCAGCAGCCGCGGUAAUAC